This is a long non-coding RNA of Oenanthe melanoleuca, 2874 nucleotides long. RefSeq lists it as uncharacterized. The record is from RefSeq and is a predicted model, not a curated record. The transcript has 3 exons. NCBI's taxonomy places the organism in Eukaryota, Metazoa, Chordata, Aves, Passeriformes, Muscicapidae.
CCGCCGUGCCUGGUCCCCGCCCCGCUCUGGCCCGGGGGUCCCCAGCACUUGGCUGGCCCUUCGCGGCCCUCAUGCACUGCGAUCCCCAGAGGUGUUUUGGAACCGAUAAUGAACCUCUGGUCAGUACCAAGGGCUGAGGAACGAUCACAGUGAACACCCACCUGUUUUUUCCAGAGCAGCAGAACUGGUCUAUAUGGAACAUACUGGGAAGCCAAGUGGGCAAUUGCCUGUGCUGUUUAUUUUUAUGGCAGUUGACAGCACUGGAAAACUCUGAGCACACAGACUGCAGCACUGCCAGCAGAGAUUGGGAGGGAUGAACAAAGAUUUGCCCUCACAAUGGUACAGGAUGGGCCAUAUCUCCAGAUAACAAGCCUUGUUGAAAAAAGCUCUGCAGCUAAUAAUGGAAAACUGAAACCAGGUAAAACGAACCAAUAUUGAUAUUAAAAUUUAAUUGCAUUGAAAAUAUCCUUGUUCUGCAUUUAUGCUUUGAGCCUGUCUCUGAUUUAUUUACACUUACACAGAUCAAAAGAAACUCAGUUGAAAAUUACAGAGAAAAGAAACUAGCACAAACUGUAUAAAGCUCAGUGCCAGCAUUCCACUGUGAUGAAAUACCUGUGAUCUUAAAAUAGCUGAUAUGGUGACUGUUCCAUAAUCAGAUCAAGAUUUAAGUCUAUACAUUGUUCUCCAGCAAAAACAGAUUUCCUAGUCACCAGCAGAUUUUUUCCAAAAAAUAUUUUGACUAUUACCUUUAUGUAGCAACUAGACUUGAAUAAUAUAAUUCUUUAUUCAGUGCAUUAUUGUUCAAGCAAUUUCUUUCUGCAAGUAACACAAAUCUUCACAAGGUUUGAAAUUAAUUUGCCUUAUUGUUUGCUUUUUAUUUCUCUUUAUUACAUAGAGUAGUUACACAGUAGCAAUAGACUAAUCUCUGUGCUUCAACAAUCCACGCAGGUGUUCAUUUGCUGAAUGUUUUAAAUCUGAAAUGAACCAUAUCAGAACUAGCAGACUAUUACCAGUUAUUAAAGGUUUCUUGUGGAACAUCUGACACCUGUAUUAAACUUAAAAUUGAAAGCUCUGUAAAUGUGAGUGCUUCACAUGGGUCCCCAGCCCAAUUACAUUAAACUCAUGAACUACAGUUUGGGGACAAUACUGUGCUAUGGUAAUUCCCAGCAUGAAAUUGUCUCUUAACAUUGAAAUCUAUGAAGCAAAAACUGCAGUGUAAUGAAGUAAUUUAGAAAUUUACUGGCUGUACAGUGAAAAGGCAUAUCUUUAAAUUAGAACAAUUUUCCUAGCAGUGCCUUUAUAGUUUGGGCAGUCCUUCCUUCAGAAUUGCAAAUGCCAGGAAGAAACAUCGACUUGCUGGAUGAAAUAAAAACCAUCAAGUGGAGUUGGCAUGCAGCUUUUAAGAACACAUUGCUCUCAGUGCUAAGGGUGGUCCAUACACUCAGUAGAAUUAAUCUAGACAGGUUACAAGGCAGUUCCAAGUUUUCCUGAGGCAGAGAAUUUUAAUAGAAAUAAACUUCAGAGGCAGGGGAAGGAGCAGAAGUAUUAAAAUGAGAUAAUUAGGCUAGAACAGCAGAAAGGAAGCUCACACAUAGCAAGGGACUUUCCAAGAGAUUAAACCUUUAUGUUUGAAUAAAUCAUUAACUACACUGAAGGAGCAGAAAAAGAAGAGCUUGCUUUUCUAUUGACUGAGCAAAGAGAAAGACCAAAGGAAAGAGUAUAUAAGGGACAAUAAACAACAGAAUGUUUGAUACUAGAGGAGCUCCAGAACUGAAUAACUUGUCUUUAGAACAUGUGUUUGAAAAAAAAAUGAAUAUCCCAUGAUUAGUUAGCUAAAUGGCUAUGGGAAUUACUGCAUGUUUAAGUAAUAGCAUGCUGUGUGAGUGAAAACACUGAGGAUGGAGAUGACACUGGGUCCAGUAGUGAUGAUGAUCUAGACUUGCAUGCUUUUCAAUACAAAUCUUUACAGUUAGUGUUGCAAGUUCACUCAUGUUACCAGCAAUAUCCAAAGUUUGGUGAAUAUCUGAUACAGGCCAGACACUUGAAUAGGCUGUACUCCAUAAUGAGGCACUGGAGCACUGUGCAAUGCUCUAUUGGAAGCCAGUGGUUUGACCUCCCUCAUGCUGAGAUCCUUUCCUCUUCUUCCUGCCCUUCUGUAUCACAUGCAUCCUGUAAGACUUGGCUUCAGAACGCCUCAAAACUUGGCUUCUUCAAACCCUAAAUUUCUUAUGAUGUAUUGUAUAUGUUUUCUUUUAAUAUAUGCCUAGACUUCAAAAAUUUAUGUCCUGAGAGAUUUCAAAUUAUGUAUUAGCUAUAUAUGGAUAAUCCCCUCAAAGACAUUUUCCAGUACUCCUUGUGGAGAAGUCAUGAAAAAACAAAACCUCUGCUAGUCCCAGACAAGUAGGAACUGCAAGCUCUAAGAAAGUCUAAUAUAUUCAUCUUUGUUUGAAGGCAGGUUUCUUUACUUAAUUGAUAUAAGGAUGGUAGAGACAAUCUAUCAGGAACUUUUCCUGAAUAUACAAGAAUACAUAGAUAACCAGUGGUAAUUACAGCAUUUGUCUUCAUUGCACUGAUAAUUUUUAUAAUUAAUUUUUUUACAUUGACCAAAACUCUUCUUGUUUUCACACUGUGGUUUUUUACCUCCAGUGUACAGAGCCAGAUUUAUCAGCCUUUUAUAUACCAUUUUCAGUGAAAAAAACUUCUACACAAAAUGUAUGAACUCAGCACUUUAUUUGAUGAGUGCAAGCCCACAAUUACUCCAGAUUAACUUUCUGAAAGAACUGAAUUCAUAAAUAACAAGUUAGUAGUAAUUCAUUUAGAACAUGGUGACUUAGAGCAUAGGUCCAUCUUGAAUCAAAUCCAUCCCAGAUUUGU